GUCUUCAUGUAUUUAUUUAUGAAGUUUGGCCUGCCCACUGAUAAAAUUUAAAGGGCCGCGGUAUAUUGACCGUGCAAAGGUAGCAUAAUCAUUAGUCUUUUAAUUGGGGGCUUGUAUGAAGGGUCGUACAAGAAACAAUCUGUCUUAACAUAAUUUAUUGAAUUUAACUUUUAAGUAAAAAGGCUUAAAUAAAUUAAAGUGACGAUAAGACCCUAUAAAACUUUAUAAAUGUAGUUAAAAUUAUAUAUUGGUUGUUUAAAAUUUUUUUAAUAAAUUUUAUUUUAUUGGGGCGAUAAAAAUAUAAAAGGUAGCUGUUUUGUUAUUAAAAUGAUUAUUAUCAAAGAUUAAUUUGUUCCUUUAAUAGAGAUUAUAAGAUUAAGUUACUUUAGGGAUAACAGCGUAAUUUUCUUUAAGAGUUCUUAUCUACAAGAAGGAUUGCGACCUCGAUGUUGAAUUAAAAUUUCUUUAAGGUGUAGCAGCUUUAAUGGAAGGUCUGUUCGACCUUUAAAUUUUU
Molecule: ribosomal RNA, 514 nt
Filed under: Nematobrachion boopis
Lineage: Eukaryota; Metazoa; Arthropoda; Malacostraca; Euphausiacea; Euphausiidae
Description: partial 16S ribosomal RNA
Rfam family: Bacterial large subunit ribosomal RNA
Source: RNAcentral